ACUCAAAUGAAUUGACGGGGACCCGCACAAGCGGUGGAUUAUGUGGAUUAAUUCGAUGCAACGCGAAAAACCUUACCUACCCUUGACAUGUGCGGAACCCGGUGGAGACAUCGGGGUGCCCGAAAGGGAGCCGCAACACAGGUGCUGCAUGGCUGUCGUCAGCUCGUGUCGUGAGAUGUUGGGUUAAGUCCCGCAACGAGCGCAACCCUUGCCGUUAAUUGCCAUCAUUUCGGGUGGGCACUUUAACGGGACUGCCGGUGACAAACCGGAGGAAGGUGGGGAUGACGUCAAGUCCUCAUGGCCCUUAUGGGUAGGGCCUCACACGUAAUACAAUGGCGCAUACAAAGGGAAGCGAAGGGGCGACCUGGAGCGAAUCCCUGCAAAGUGCGUCGUAGUCCGGAUCGGAGUCUGCAACUCGACUCCGUGAAGUCGGAAUCGCUAGUAAUCGCGGAUCAGCAUGUCGCGGUGAAUACGUUCCCGGGUCUUGUACACACCGCCCGU
Molecule: ribosomal RNA, 501 nt
Filed under: uncultured bacterium
Lineage: Bacteria
Description: partial 16S ribosomal RNA
Rfam family: Bacterial small subunit ribosomal RNA
Source: RNAcentral